Molecule: ribosomal RNA, 390 nt
Filed under: Escherichia coli
Lineage: Bacteria; Pseudomonadati; Pseudomonadota; Gammaproteobacteria; Enterobacterales; Enterobacteriaceae
Description: bacterial SSU rRNA
Rfam family: Bacterial small subunit ribosomal RNA
Source: RNAcentral
UGCCAUCGGAUGUGCCCAGAUGGGAUUAGCUAGUAGGUGGGGUAAAGGCUCACCUAGGCGACGAUCCCUAGCUGGUCUGAGAGGAUGACCAGCCACACUGGAACUGAGACACGGUCCAGACUCCUACGGGAGGCAGCAGUGGGGAAUAUUGCACAAUGGGCGCAAGCCUGAUGCAGCCAUGCCGCGUGUAUGAAGAAGGCCUUCGGGUUGUAAAGUACUUUCAGCGGGGAGGAAGGGAGUAAAGUUAAUACCUUUGCUCAUUGACGUUACCCGCAGAAGAAGCACCGGCUAACUCCGUGCCAGCAGCCGCGGUAAUACGGAGGGUGCAAGCGUUAAUCGGAAUUACUGGGCGUAAAGCGCACGCAGGCGGUUUGUUAAGUCAGAUGUGAA